GCAUCGAUAGCUCAGUGGCAGAGCGGUGAGGCGUUGACCCGUGCGGCCCGGAUUCGAGCCCCUGUCGAUGCA
Molecule: non-coding RNA, 72 nt
Organism: Phthorimaea operculella (potato tuberworm)
Lineage: Eukaryota; Metazoa; Arthropoda; Insecta; Lepidoptera; Gelechiidae
Source: the annotation of a GenBank genome assembly